Molecule: ribosomal RNA, 463 nt
Filed under: uncultured Klebsiella sp.
Lineage: Bacteria; Pseudomonadati; Pseudomonadota; Gammaproteobacteria; Enterobacterales; Enterobacteriaceae
Description: bacterial SSU rRNA
Rfam family: Bacterial small subunit ribosomal RNA
Source: RNAcentral
CCUACGGGGGGCUGCAGUGGGGAAUAUUGCACAAUGGGCGCAAGCCUGAUGCAGCCAUGCCGCGUGUGUGAAGAAGGCCUUCGGGUUGUAAAGCACUUUCAGCGGGGAGGAAGGCGGUGAGGUUAAUAACCUCAUCGAUUGACGUUACCCGCAGAAGAAGCACCGGCUAACUCCGUGCCAGCAGCCGCGGUAAUACGGAGGGUGCAAGCGUUAAUCGGAAUUACUGGGCGUAAAGCGCACGCAGGCGGUCUGUCAAGUCGGAUGUGAAAUCCCCGGGCUCAACCUGGGAACUGCAUUCGAAACUGGCAGGCUAGAGUCUUGUAGAGGGGGGUAGAAUUCCGGGUGGAGCGGUGAAAUGCGUAGAGAUCUGGAGGAAUACCGGUGGCGAAGGCGGCCCCCUGGACAAAGACUGACGCUCAGGUGCGAAAGCGUGGGGAGCAAACAGGAUUAAUACCCUUGAGUC